CUAUGCCAUGAACUGUUUUUAUGAAGAGGCACAUAACCGAUAAAAAGGUUUGUGCAUCAAAACCCAAUAUCUACAGUCCACAACUAUCAAAAGAUUUCUGCAAUACGCUACACUUCAAACUUCCCUCUCCAUUAUAUGAUUCUAAGCUUCAUGAUCUGUUUCUAUGAAGCGGCACAAAACCGAUAAAAAGGUUUGUGCAUCAAAUCUCAACAACUACUGUCCACUACUCUAAGAUUUCUGCAAUGCGCUACAUGUGAAACUUCCUCCUCCAUUACAUGGUUCUCUGUGCCAUGAACCGUUUUUAUGAAGAGGCACACAACCGAUUAAAAAGGUUUGUGCAUUAAAGCUCAAUCUCUAUGGUCCACUACUCUUAAAAGAUUUCUGCAAUGUGCUACAUGUGAAACUUCCUCAUCCUAUAGUUGAUUCUCUAUGCCAUGAACUUUUAUGAAGAGGCACACAACCAAUAAAAAGUGCAUUUACAGAUUUCUGCAAUACGCUACUUCAAACUUCCCUCUCCAUUAUAUGAUUCUCUACACCAUUUACUGUUUCCAUGAAGAGGCACACAACCGAUUAAAAAGAUUUCUGCAAUAUGCUACACUUCAAACUUCCUUCUCCAUUAUAUGAUUCUCUGCUCCAUUAACUAUUUUUAUGAAGCAGCACAAAUCUGUUUAAGAAGGUUUGUGCAUCAAAACUCAAUAUCUACUGUCCACUACUCCCAGAAGAUUUCUGCAAUACACUACACUUCAAACUUCCUUCUCCAUUAUAUGAUUCUCCGCUCCAUGAAUUGUUUUUGAAGCAGCACAAAACCAAAAGAAAGGUUUGUGCAUCAAAACCCAAUAUCUACUGUCCACUACUAUCAAAAGAUUUCUGCAAUACGCUACAUGUGAAACUUCCUCCUUAUGCUUUAUUUGAUUCUCCACUCCAUGAACUGUUUUUAUGAAGCAGCACAAAACCAAUAAAAAGGUUUGUGCAUCAAAACUCAAUCUCUACUGUCCACUACUCGCAAAAGAUUUCUGCAAAACGCUACACUUCAAACUUCCUUCUCCAUUAUAUGAUUCUCCACUCCAUGAACUUUCUAUGAAGCAGCACAAAACCGAUUAAAAAGGUUUGUGCAUCAAAACUCAAUAUCUACUGUCCACUACUCCCAAAAGGUUUCUGCAAUGCGCUACACUUCAAACUUCCUUCUCCAUUAUGAUUCUCCAGUCCAUGAACUGUUUUUAUGAAGCACACAACCGAUAAAAAUAAAAGUGAAUACAAAACCAUUGUUCAAAUAUCUUCAGAAAAUGUCCCAGCAAAACUCUAAACUGAUGCAGGCAUUCAAUAGUCAAAGUUAUUAAACAAAUGAAUAACCGCAAAAGUAACACAAUUAUAUAUUAAAUAUUGGAUGGAUGGCUUGUAUUAUAUUAAAGGCUAUGUACAGCAAAUUUAGAUGCCAGCCAAAGGAGGAUGGCUUGCCCCUGCUGAGUCUGGUUCCUCCCAAGGUUUCUCCCUAUACCUCUCUGCUGAUGAUGCUUCUCUUCACUAAUUUAGGGAGUUUUUCCUUGCCACUGUUGCCUUCUGGCUUGCUCACUGGGGUAUUAAGGCACAAUAUUUUCAAUG
Molecule: long non-coding RNA, 1599 nt
Organism: Cyprinus carpio carpio
Lineage: Eukaryota; Metazoa; Chordata; Actinopteri; Cypriniformes; Cyprinidae
Source: Ensembl